AGAGGAAGUAAAAGUCGUAACAAGGUUUCCGUAGGUGAACCUGCGGAAGGAUCAUUAUUGAAAUAAACCUGAUAAGUUGUUGCUGGUUYUCUAGGGAGCAUGUGCACACUUGUCAUCUUUGUAUCUCCACCUGUGCACCUUUUGUAGACCUUGGGUAUCUAUCUGAUUGCUUUAGCAACUCAGGAUUGAGGAUUGACUUUCUGUCUCUUCUUACAUUUCCAGGCCUAUGUUUUUCAAAUACCCUAAUGUAUGUUUAUAGAAUGUAAUCAAAUAGGCCUUUGUGCCUAUAAAUUGAUACAACUUUCAGCAACGGAUCUCUUGGCUCUCGCAUCGAUGAAGAACGCAGCGAAAUGCGAUAAGUAAUGUGAAUUGCAGAAUUCAGUGAAUCAUCGAAUCUUUGAACGCACCUUGCGCUCCUUGGUAUUCCGAGGAGCAUGCCUGUUUGAGUGUCAUUAAUAUAUCAACCUUUUUUUUUUUGGUUGGAUGUGGGUUUGCUGGCCACUUUAGAGGYCAGCUCUCCUUAAAUGCAUUAGCGGACAAUAUUUUGCCAAACGUUUCAUUGGUGUGAUAAUUAUCUACACUAUUGAUGUGAAGCAAGGUUCAGCUUCUAACAGUCCAUUGACUUGGACAAUUUUUUAUUUAUUAAUGUGACCUCAAAUCAGGUAGGACUACCCGCUGAACUUAAGCAUAUCAAUAAGCGGAGGAAAAGAAACUAACAAGGAUUCCCCUAGUAACUGCGAGUGAAGCGGGAAAAGCUCAAAUUUAAAAUCUGGCAGUCUUUGGCUGUCCGAGUUGUAAUCUAGAGAAGCAUUAUCCGCGCUGGACCGUGUACAAGUCUCCUGGAAUGGAGCGUCAUAGAGGGUGAGAAUCCCGUCUUUGACACGGACUACCAGGGCUUUGUGAUGUGCUCUCAAAGAGUCGAGUUGUUUGGGAAUGCAGCUCAAAAUGGGUGGUAAAUUCCAUCUAAAGCUAAAUAUUG
Molecule: ribosomal RNA, 979 nt
Filed under: Calonarius elegantior
Lineage: Eukaryota; Fungi; Basidiomycota; Agaricomycetes; Agaricales; Cortinariaceae
Description: eukaryotic LSU rRNA
Rfam family: Eukaryotic large subunit ribosomal RNA (bases 649-979)
Source: RNAcentral